This is a ribosomal RNA of 1122 nucleotides. It matches the Rfam family "Bacterial small subunit ribosomal RNA", at positions 373 to 1505 of the family's 1533-position model.
GGGCCGAAGCCUGAUGCAGCGACGCCGCGUGAGGGAUGACGGCCUUCGGGUUGUAAACCUCUUUCAGUAGGGAAGAAGCGAAAGUGACGGUACCUGCAGAAGAAGCACCGGCUAACUACGUGCCAGCAGCCGCGGUAAUACGUAGGGUGCGAGCGUUAUCCGGAAUUAUUGGGCGUAAAGAGCUCGUAGGCGGUUUGUCGCGUCUGUCGUGAAAGUCCGGGGCUUAACCCCGGAUCUGCGGUGGGUACGGGCAGACUAGAGUGCAGUAGGGGAGACUGGAAUUCCUGGUGUAGCGGUGGAAUGCGCAGAUAUCAGGAGGAACACCGAUGGCGAAGGCAGGUCUCUGGGCUGUAACUGACGCUGAGGAGCGAAAGCAUGGGGAGCGAACAGGAUUAGAUACCCUGGUAGUCCAUGCCGUAAACGUUGGGCACUAGGUGUGGGGACCAUUCCACGGUUUCCGCGCCGCAGCUAACGCAUUAAGUGCCCCGCCUGGGGAGUACGGCCGCAAGGCUAAAACUCAAAGGAAUUGACGGGGGCCCGCACAAGCGGCGGAGCAUGCGGAUUAAUUCGAUGCAACGCGAAGAACCUUACCAAGGCUUGACAUGUUCCCGAUCGCCGUAGAGAUACGGUUUCCCCUUUGGGGCGGGUUCACAGGUGGUGCAUGGUUGUCGUCAGCUCGUGUCGUGAGAUGUUGGGUUAAGUCCCGCAACGAGCGCAACCCUCGUUCCAUGUUGCCAGCACGUAAUGGUGGGGGACUCAUGGGAGACUGCCGGGGGUCAACUCGGAGGAAGGUGAGGACGACGUCAAAUCAUCAUGCCCCUUAUGUCUUGGGCUUCACGCAUGCUACAAUGGCCGGGUACAAUGGGUUGCGAUGCUGUGAGGUGGGAGGCUAAUCCCAAAAGCCGGUCUCAGUUCGAUUGGGGUCUGCAACUCGACCCCAUGAAGUCGGAUCGCUAGUAAUCCCAGAUCACAACGCUGCGUGAAUACGUUCCCGGGCCUUGUACACACCUCCCGUUCAGUUACCAAAUUGGUAACACUCUCAACCCGUGCUAUCCUUGUGGAGGGAGACCCUCAAAGAUGGACCCACGAUUGGGAAAUAACGUCGCAAAAUAGUAUCCGAUA